Molecule: ribosomal RNA, 393 nt
Filed under: uncultured bacterium
Lineage: Bacteria
Description: bacterial SSU rRNA
Rfam family: Bacterial small subunit ribosomal RNA
Source: RNAcentral
AACGAACGUUGGCGGCGUGGAUUAGGCAUGCAAGUCGAACGAAUGUCAGCUUGGUAGCAAUACUGAGUUGGCGGAAGUGGCGAAAGGGGCAGUAAGGCGUGGGUAACCUACCCUGGGGAUGGGCAUAGCCGUUCUAACGGACGGGUAAUUCCCAGCGAUCUGGCCGAGGGGCAUCUCCUGGCCAGGAAAUGAAUUUCGCCUCGGGAGGGCUCACGUAGUAUUAGCUAGUUGGUGAGGUAACGGCUCACCAAGGCGAAGAUGCUUAGCGGGUGUGAGAGCACGACCCGCGCCACUGGCACUGAGACACUGGCCAGACCUCCUACGGGAGGCUGCAGUCGAGGAUCUUCGGCAAUGGGCGCAAGCCUGACCGAGCGACGCCGCGUGUGCGAUGAA